This 468-nucleotide ribosomal RNA is filed under the name uncultured bacterium. RNAcentral's name for it is "partial 16S ribosomal RNA". It matches the Rfam family "Bacterial small subunit ribosomal RNA", at positions 28 to 507 of the family's 1533-position model. The record is from RNAcentral.
GACGAACGCUGGCGGCGUGCUUAACACAUGCAAGUCGAACGGAAAGGCCCUGCUUUUGUGGGGUGCUCGAGUGGCGAACGGGUGAGUAACACGUGAGUAACCUGCCCUUGACUUUGGGAUAACUUCAGGAAACUGGGGCUAAUACCGGAUAGGAGCUCCUGCUGCAUGGUGGGGGUUGGAAAGUUUCGGCGGUUGGGGAUGGACUCGCGGCUUAUCAGCUUGUUGGUGGGGUAGUGGCUUACCAAGGCUUUGACGGGUAGCCGGCCUGAGAGGGUGACCGGCCACAUUGGGACUGAGAUACGGCCCAGACUCCUACGGGAGGCAGCAGUGGGGAAUAUUGCACAAUGGGCGGAAGCCUGAGGCAGCAACGCCGCGUGCGGGAUGACGGCCUUCGGGUUGUAAACCGCUUUCGCCUGUGACGAAGCGUUAGUGACGGUAAUGGGUAAAGAAGCACCGGCUAACUACGUG